AGUUUGAUCCUGGCUCAGAACGAACGCUGGCGGCAGGCUUAACACAUGCAAGUCGAACGCAUCGCAAGAUGAGUGGCAGACGGGUGAGUAACGCGUGGGAACAUACCCUUUUCUACGGAAUAGCUCUGGGAAACUGGAAUUAAUACCGUAUACGCCCUACGGGGGAAAGAUUUAUCGGGGAAGGAUUGGCCCGCGUUGGAUUAGCUAGUUGGUGGGGUAAAGGCCUACCAAGGCGACGAUCCAUAGCUGGUCUGAGAGGAUGAUCAGCCACAUUGGGACUGAGACACGGCCCAAACUCCUACGGGAGGCAGCAGUGGGGAAUAUUGGACAAUGGGCGCAAGCCUGAUCCAGCCAUGCCGCGUGAGUGAUGAAGGCCUUAGGGUUGUAAAGCUCUUUUACCCGGGAUGAUAAUGACAGUACCGGGAGAAUAAGCCCCGGCUAACUCCGUGCCAGCAGCCGCGGUAA
This 465-nucleotide ribosomal RNA is filed under the name uncultured bacterium. RNAcentral's name for it is "bacterial SSU rRNA". It matches the Rfam family "Bacterial small subunit ribosomal RNA", at positions 10 to 523 of the family's 1533-position model. The record is from RNAcentral.